RNAcentral lists this ribosomal RNA (611 nucleotides) under Pseudomonas sp. M9-10. Its description in RNAcentral is "bacterial SSU rRNA". It matches the Rfam family "Bacterial small subunit ribosomal RNA", at positions 34 to 640 of the family's 1533-position model. The record is from RNAcentral. Lineage: Bacteria; Pseudomonadati; Pseudomonadota; Gammaproteobacteria; Pseudomonadales; Pseudomonadaceae.
CGCUGGCGGCAGGCCUAACACAUGCAAGUCGAGCGGAUGAAGGGAGCUUGCUCCUGGAUUUAGCGGCGGACGGGUGAGUAAAGCCUAGGAAUCUGCCUGGUAGUGGGGGACAACGACUCGAAAGGGUCGCUAAUACCGCAUACGUCCUACGGGAGAAAGUGGGGGAUCUUCGGACCUCACGCUAUCAGAUGAGCCUAGGUCGGAUUAGCUAGUAGGUGAGGUAAUGGCUCACCUAGGCGACGAUCCGUAACUGGUCUGAGAGGAUGAUCAGUCACACUGGAACUGAGACACGGUCCAGACUCCUACGGGAGGCAGCAGUGGGGAAUAUUGGACAAUGGGCGAAAGCCUGAUCCAGCCAUGCCGCGUGUGUGAAGAAGGUCUUCGGAUUGUAAAGCACUUUAAGUUGGGAGGAAGGGUUGUAGUUUAAUACGCUGCAACUUUGACGUUACCAACAGAAUAAGCACCGGCUAACUCUGUGCCAGCAGCCGCGGUAAUACAGAGGGUGCAAGCGUUAAUCGGAAUUACUGGGCGUAAAGCGCGCGUAGGCGGCUUGAUAAGAUGGGUGUGAAAUCCCCGGGCUUAACCUGGGAACUGCAUCCAUAACUGUCUGG